This 429-nucleotide ribosomal RNA is filed under the name uncultured bacterium. Its description in RNAcentral is "bacterial SSU rRNA". It matches the Rfam family "Bacterial small subunit ribosomal RNA", at positions 355 to 775 of the family's 1533-position model. The record is from RNAcentral.
UGAGGAAUAUUGCGCAAUGGGGGCAACCCUGACGCAGCGACGCCGCGUGAGUGAGGAAGGCCUUCGGGUCGUAAAGCUCUGUCAAGAGGGAAGAAGUGCAUGGUGGUUAAUAUCUGUCAUGUUUGACGGUACCUCUAAAGGAAGCACCGGCUAACUCCGUGCCAGCAGCCGCGGUAAUACGGAGGGUGCAAGCGUUGUUCGGAAUCACUGGGCGUAAAGGGCGCGCAGGCGGCCUGAUCAGUCAGAUGUGAAAGCCCACGGCUUAACUGUGGAAGUGCAUUUGAAACUGUCAGGCUUGAGUACCAGAGGGGAAAGUGGAAUUCCCGGUGUAGAGGUGAAAUUCGUAGAUAUCGGGAGGAAUACCGGUGGCGAAGGCGACUUUCUGGCUGGAUACUGACGCUGAGGCGCGAAAGCGUGGGGAGCAAACAG